UAAGCCGCUUCCUCAAGCCCUUCAAAAUUACCUUAUCUUCCCCCUAGUCCAGGUAGGCAGGCACACACUGAGAAAAGAAAGAAACAUCAGAAGCAACAGGGAAGGAUCAUCCCAGCCAAUGAAGUGGAAGGAAAGAAAGGGGAGGAAGGGAGGAGGAAGAGAAAGGAAGACAAAAAGAAACACAGAAACAUCCAUAACCGAAAUUAAAACACGGUCUUGGAUCGGGUGCAUUAGAAACAUCCUUUUGUCUCUGAGCAUCUCUUCAGGGAAGCUGAACUGCCGGGUGCCAGUGACAGGGCUUUCAAAACCAAAUGAAGCUGUGGAAACAAGGAGGAGUCACCAAAGGAAAAGUAAGAGACGGGGAAUAAAGUGAAAGGGUUUACCUUUAAAAAUAGUCUUGU
RNAcentral lists this long non-coding RNA (401 nucleotides) under Calidris pygmaea (Spoon-billed sandpiper). RNAcentral describes it as "lncRNA (ENSCPGG00000004207.1)". The record is from RNAcentral. Lineage: Eukaryota; Metazoa; Chordata; Aves; Charadriiformes; Scolopacidae.